CUUCCCACUUACCUCUCUACCACUUUCUGUUUUAAGUGUUCAAUUUCACAGUGUCUUUAAAACAUUAGUAGAUGAUGCAGGCAAUGUAAGGGAGGUGGGAAAAAGAUAAGCUUUUAAAGUACAGAACCAAACCUGGUAUUUUGUGCCUGCAGGACCUCACCACUGCUCACUGCAUGAUGCAGAGUGCAGGUACAGAGAGUGCCCACCUCAGCAUGCCUUAAUCUGGAGAAAAAAUGACAAUUCAAAAGAAUACUAUUUUGCUUCACAGAAAAUUUGCCAAUUCCAGAUAUGGAACAAAGUCAUGGAGUGGUACAUGCACAGUGCAAUUUGACUUAGUUUCUGACGAGAAGUAAAAUAAGGAUAAAAGCUACGAGAAAGAAACAUCUGCCAUUUGCAAAACCAAGCAUCUCAGCGGAAAUGAGGGCGAAUCGCGCUCUCCUGGGUGAGCACAGCUCAGACCCUUUCACUGUGCUAUUUCCUGAAAUACUGCUUUCCACAGCACUCUGCACCCAGCCUACGAAAGUGGAAGUAAUCUGAGCUGCACAGUUGACUUAAGCUCUGAUAAAACACUCUGCUGUGUUACUGUCAGCAUGCCAGUAAAUGUCAUUGCUUUUUUCUGGAAUAUACCAUAUUAUAAAACUGUCUGGGGUAGAACUUGAAUCUCCUCACUGGGCUAAGCAGCAGAUGAAGUCCUCCCACCCCUCCUGCAUACCCAUGGCACAGCAGCACUCAGUCCCAACUCAUGUCCACAAGCUCCAAUGGAAAAAUGAGGAUCCAUCAGCCUGUGUGCAGCACUGUGCCUGAUAUGAGAGCUGGGGGGUCAGUGGCCACAGGAGUCUAAGGCCAGAGGAGGAGAAGAAUGUGUGUCCUUCUGCAGCCAGGCCACUUGGACCAAGGCAUCUGAGGAGAUCUCAAGAGUCACAGAGUCUUUUCUAUCUGAAUAAAGCCAUGAAGACAGCUCUCCCUGCUGAGCAACACUGCAGGAGGGAUUUCCUAUGCUGCCCAAGGGGCACCAUGCUGUAUUACUGCAAGGGACAUCACCUUUCGCAGCUGGCUCCUGAGCAGCUGCAUAAUGACAAAAAAGAGAGAGGAAAAUGGCACACAUCAAAGAAGAGGAAAAACAUCUUAGAACACAAAUGUAAACAAGAAGAAAAUGUCAGAUGCUGCCUUGAGAGUAUUUUUCUCCCACGUAUUGAAAGGCUGCAAUGAAUCCUUGUAAUAACCAGGGGCACAGCCUUUAGCUAAGGAGUCCCGUGACCUUAAAGUCAUUCCUCAGCUUCUCUGCAAGUAUGAAAUUUUAAUAAAAUAAAAUAAACCAAAUCCUUAGCUUCUUUU
RNAcentral lists this long non-coding RNA (1335 nucleotides) under Phasianus colchicus (ring-necked pheasant). Its description in RNAcentral is "lncRNA (ENSPCLG00000005779.1)". The record is from RNAcentral. Lineage: Eukaryota; Metazoa; Chordata; Aves; Galliformes; Phasianidae.